AAGUCGUAACAAGGUUUCCGUAGGUGAACCUGCGGAAGGAUCAUUAAAAAAUCAUAAUCGUGCAGUAUGUACGCCAGUAUGUACGGUACGUAUGGGAGCCGCAAGGCUCUCUGAAUAUUUUGUGAACUGUGUGGACAGUACGGCAGGAGUAUGUGGUUAAGAGAGGGUUAUCUCUUUACACCAAUGCAUCUAUCUGUUGUACUGUCUAUUUUGAUAAUAUAUGUUAUAUAUUGAUGAAGUAUAAUGGAGGGAGGGGGAGACCCCAGCCUCGAACAACAAAUAUAUUAUACAACUUUCAACAGUGGAUCUCUCGGCUCUU
RNAcentral lists this unclassified non-coding RNA (319 nucleotides) under fungal sp. RNAcentral describes it as "partial internal transcribed spacer region". The stretch from base 1 to 46 matches the Rfam family "Eukaryotic small subunit ribosomal RNA", at positions 1786 to 1831 of the family's 1831-position model. The record is from RNAcentral. Lineage: Eukaryota; Fungi.